CACGUAGGGCGCGAGCGUUGUCCGGAAUUAUUGGGCGUAAAGAGCUCGUAGGCGGUUCGUCGCGGCGGCUGUGAAAACCUGAGGCUCAACCUCAGGCCUGCAGUCGAUACGGGCGGACUUGAGUACUGCAGGGGAGACUGGAAUUCCUGGUGUAGCGGUGAAAUGCGCAGAUAUCGGGAAGAACACCCGUGGCGAAGGCGGCUCUCUGGGACGGUACUGACGCUGAGACGCGAAAGCGUGGGGAGCGAACAGG
RNAcentral lists this ribosomal RNA (253 nucleotides) under uncultured bacterium. RNAcentral describes it as "partial 16S ribosomal RNA". It matches the Rfam family "Bacterial small subunit ribosomal RNA", at positions 524 to 776 of the family's 1533-position model. The record is from RNAcentral.